Non-coding RNA from Caenorhabditis elegans, 71 nucleotides. The record is from Ensembl. NCBI's taxonomy places the organism in Eukaryota, Metazoa, Nematoda, Chromadorea, Rhabditida, Rhabditidae.
CAAGGACAAGAUGGCACCGGAAAUGUGAAAAUUGCCAAAGAGCACGAAACCUUUAAUUGAAAAGUUGUGUG